Molecule: ribosomal RNA, 253 nt
Filed under: uncultured bacterium
Lineage: Bacteria
Description: partial 16S ribosomal RNA
Rfam family: Bacterial small subunit ribosomal RNA
Source: RNAcentral
UACGUAGGGGGCAAGCGUUGUUCGGAAUUAUUGGGCGUAAAGAGCUCGUAGGCGGUCUGUUGCGUCUGCUGUGAAAACCCGGGGCUUAACCCCUGGCUUGCAGUGGAUACGGACAGACUAGAGGUAGGUAGGGGAGAAUGGAAUUCCCGGUGUAGCGGUGAAAUGCGCAGAUAUCGGGAGGAACACCGGUGGCGAAGGCGGUUCUCUGGGCCUUACCUGACGCUGAGGAGCGAAAGCGUGGGGAGCGAACAGG